UACGUAGGGGGCAAGCGUUGUCCGGAAUCAUUGGGCGUAAAGCGCGUGUAGGCGGCUCGAUAAGUCUGCUGUGAAAGUCCAGGGCUCAACCCUGGAAAGCCGGUGGAAACUGUCGGGCUAGAGUCCGGAAGGGGCGAGUGGAAUUCCUGGUGUAGCGGUGAAAUGCGCAGAUAUCAGGAGGAACACCAAUGGCGAAGGCAGCUCGCUGGGACGGUACUGACGCUGAGACGCGAAAGCGUGGGGAGCAAACAGG
Molecule: ribosomal RNA, 253 nt
Filed under: uncultured bacterium
Lineage: Bacteria
Description: partial 16S ribosomal RNA
Rfam family: Bacterial small subunit ribosomal RNA
Source: RNAcentral